UACGUAGGGUGCAAGCGUUGUCCGGAAUUAUUGGGCGGAAAGAGCUCGUAGGCGGUCUGUCGCGUCUGCUGUGAAAACUCGGGGCUUAACCCCGGGCCUGCAGUGGGUACGGGCAGACUAGAGUGCGGUAGGGGAGACUGGAAUUCCUGGUGUAGCGGUGAAAUGCGCAGAUAUCAGGAGGAACACCGGUUGCGAAGGCGGGUCUCUGGGCCGUAACUGACGCUGAGGAGCGAAAGCGUGGGGAGCGAACAGG
RNAcentral lists this ribosomal RNA (253 nucleotides) under uncultured bacterium. RNAcentral's name for it is "partial 16S ribosomal RNA". It matches the Rfam family "Bacterial small subunit ribosomal RNA", at positions 524 to 776 of the family's 1533-position model. The record is from RNAcentral.